This 769-nucleotide ribosomal RNA is filed under the name uncultured bacterium. RNAcentral describes it as "bacterial SSU rRNA". It matches the Rfam family "Bacterial small subunit ribosomal RNA", at positions 100 to 864 of the family's 1533-position model. The record is from RNAcentral.
GAACGGGUGAGUAAUGCAUCGGAACGUACCCAGUCGUGGGGGAUAACGUAGCGAAAGUUACGCUAAUACCGCAUACGUCCUGAGGGAGAAAGCGGGGGCUCGCAAGACCUCGCGCGAUUGGAGCGGCCGAUGUCGGAUUAGCUAGUUGGUAGGGUAAAGGCCUACCAAGGCGACGAUCCGUAGCGGGUCUGAGAGGAUGAUCCGCCACACUGGAACUGAGACACGGUCCAGACUCCUACGGGAGGCAGCAGUGGGGAAUUUUGGACAAUGGGCGAAAGCCUGAUCCAGCCAUGCCGCGUGAGUGAAGAAGGCCUUCGGGUUGUAAAGCUCUUUCAGCCGGAAAGAAAUCGCGCAGGAUAAUACUCUGCGUGGAUGACGGUACCGGAAGAAGAAGCACCGGCUAACUACGUGCCAGCAGCCGCGGUAAUACGUAGGGUGCGAGCGUUAAUCGGAAUUACUGGGCGUAAAGCGUGCGCAGGCGGUUAUGUAAGACAGAUGUGAAAUCCCCGGGCUCAACCUGGGAACUGCGUUUGUGACUGCAUAACUAGAGUACGGCAGAGGGAGGUGGAAUUCCGCGUGUAGCAGUGAAAUGCGUAGAGAUGCGGAGGAACACCGAUGGCGAAGGCAGCCUCCUGGGCCAGUACUGACGCUCAUGCACGAAAGCGUGGGGAGCAAACAGGAUUAGAUACCCUGGUAGUCCACGCCCUAAACGAUGUCAACUAGUUGUUCGGUGAGGAGACUCAUUGAGUAACGCAGCUAACGCGUGAAG